The sequence is a regulatory RNA element, 38 nucleotides long. It matches the Rfam family "Selenocysteine insertion sequence 4". The record is from Rfam.
GGGACCUGUACUCGUUGCGGUGCAACGAUGGUUAAAGC